This 84-nucleotide microRNA precursor is filed under the name Bombyx mori (domestic silkworm). RNAcentral describes it as "mir-2807 microRNA precursor family". It matches the Rfam family "mir-2807 microRNA precursor family". The record is from Rfam by way of RNAcentral. Lineage: Eukaryota; Metazoa; Arthropoda; Insecta; Lepidoptera; Bombycidae.
UUAAAACAAAUUUGUAUGGAGUUCAAAAGUUUGCCUACGUUAGCCACCAGAGGCGCUGUUCCAACUGCAUUCAAAUUUGAGUUA